GAAUAUUGCACAAUGGGCGCAAGCCUGAUGCAGCGACGCCGCGUGGGGGAUGACGGCCUUCUGGUUGUAAACUCCUUUCGACAGGGACGAAGCGUUAUAGUUACGGUACCUGUAGAAGAAGCCCCGGCUACCUACGUGCCCUCAGCCGCGGUAAUACGUAGGGUGCGAGCGUUGUCCGGAAUUACUGGGCGUAAAGAGCUCGUGGGGGGGUUGUGGCGUCGGCGGGGAAAUCCCGGGGCUUAACCUCGGGCGUGCAGGCGAUACGGGCAUAACUUGAGUGAUGUAGGGGAGACUGGAAUUCCUGGUGUAGCGGUGAAAUGCGCAGAUAUCAGGAGGAACACCAAUGGCGAAGGCAGGUCUCUGGGCAGUAACUGACGCUGAGGAGCGAAAGCAUGGGUAGCGAAC
Molecule: ribosomal RNA, 405 nt
Filed under: uncultured bacterium
Lineage: Bacteria
Description: partial 16S ribosomal RNA
Rfam family: Bacterial small subunit ribosomal RNA
Source: RNAcentral